This 253-nucleotide ribosomal RNA is filed under the name uncultured bacterium. RNAcentral describes it as "partial 16S ribosomal RNA". It matches the Rfam family "Bacterial small subunit ribosomal RNA", at positions 524 to 776 of the family's 1533-position model. The record is from RNAcentral.
UACGAAGGGGGCUAGCGUUGUUCGGAAUUACUGGGCGUAAAGCGCGCGCAGGCGGCGGUGCUGGCCCGGCGUGAAAGCCCCCGGCUCAACUGGGGAGGGUCGUCGGGGACCGCACCGCUUGAGGGCGGUAGGGGCUGGUGGAAUGCCUGGUGUAGUGGUGAAAUGCGUAGAGAUCAGGCGGAACACCCGUGGCGAAGGCGGCCAGCUGGGCCGUCCCUGACGCUGAGGCGCGAAGGCGUGGGGAGCGAACGGG